Molecule: ribosomal RNA, 1344 nt
Filed under: uncultured bacterium
Lineage: Bacteria
Description: 16S ribosomal RNA
Rfam family: Bacterial small subunit ribosomal RNA
Source: RNAcentral
GACGAACGCUGGCGGCGUGCUUAACACAUGCAAGUCGAACGGAAAGGCCCUGCUUUUGUGGGGUGCUCGAGUGGCGAACGGGUGAGUAACACGUGAGUAACCUGCCCUUGACUUUGGGAUAACUUCAGGAAACUGGGGCUAAUACCGGAUAGGAGCUCCUGCUGCAUGGUGGGGGUUGGAAAGUUUCGGCGGUUGGGGAUGGACUCGCGGCUUAUCAGCUUGUUGGUGGGGUAGUGGCUUACCAAGGCUUUGACGGGUAGCCGGCCUGAGAGGGUGACCGGCCACAUUGGGACUGAGAUACGGCCCAGACUCCUACGGGAGGCAGCAGUGGGGAAUAUUGCACAAUGGGCGGAAGCCUGAUGCAGCAACGCCGCGUGCGGGAUGACGGCCUUCGGGUUGUAAACCGCUUUCGCCUGUGACGAAGCGUGAGUGACGGUAAUGGGUAAAGAAGCACCGGCUAACUACGUGCCAGCAGCCGCGGUGAUACGUAGGGUGCGAGCGUUGUCCGGAUUUAUUGGGCGUAAAGGGCUCGUAGGUGGUUGAUCGCGUCGGAAGUGUAAUCUUGGGGCUUAACCCCUGAGCGUGCUUUCGAUACGGGUUGACUUGAGGAAGGUAGGGGAGAAUGGAAUUCCUGGUGGAGCGGUGGAAUGCGCAGAUAUCAGGAGGAACACCAGUGGCGAAGGCGGUUCUCUGGGCCUUUCCUGACGCUGAGGAGCGAAAGCGUGGGGAGCGAACAGGCUUAGAUACCCUGGUAGUCCACGCUGUAAACGGUGGGUACUAGGUGUGGGGUCCAUUCCACGGGUUCCGUGCCGUAGCUAACGCUUUAAGUACCCCGCCUGGGGAGUACGGCCGCAAGGCUAAAACUCAAAGGAAUUGACGGGGCCCCGCACAAGCGGCGGAGCAUGCGGAUUAAUUCGAUGCAACGCGUAGAACCUUACCUGGGUUUGACAUGGAUCGGGAGCGCUCAGAGAUGGGUGUGCCUCUUUUGGGGUCGGUUCACAGGUGGUGCAUGGCUGUCGUCAGCUCGUGUCGUGAGAUGUUGGGUUAAGUCCCGCAACGAGCGCAACCCUUGUUCACUGUUGCCAGCACGUUAUGGUGGGGACUCAGUGGAGACCGCCGGGGUCAACUCGGAGGAAGGUGGGGAUGACGUCAAGUCAUCAUGCCCCUUAUGUCCAGGGCUUCACGCAUGCUACAAUGGCUGGUACAGAGAGUGGCGAGCCUGUGAGGGUGAGCGAAUCUCGGAAAGCCGGUCUCAGUUCGGAUUGGGGUCUGCAACUCGACCUCAUGAAGUCGGAGUCGCUAGUAAUCGCAGAUCAGCAACGCUGCGGUGAAUACGUUCCCGGG